This 253-nucleotide ribosomal RNA is filed under the name uncultured bacterium. RNAcentral describes it as "partial 16S ribosomal RNA". It matches the Rfam family "Bacterial small subunit ribosomal RNA", at positions 524 to 776 of the family's 1533-position model. The record is from RNAcentral.
UACAGAGGUCUCAAGCGUUGUUCGGAUUCAUUGGGCGUGAAGGGUGCGUAGGCGGCGCGGUAAGUCGGGUGUGAAAUCUCGGAGCUUAACUCCGAAACUGCAUUCGAUACUGCCGUGCUUGAGGACUGGAGAGGAGAUUGGAAUUUACGGUGUAGCGGUGAAAUGCGUAGAUAUCGUAAGGAAGACCAGUGGCGAAGGCGGGUCUCUGGACCUUACCUGACGCUGAGGAGCGAAAGCGUGGGGAGCGAACAGG